UCCAGCAGUAGUCAGCUGUCCGGACAGAAUCAUUCCUGUGAUGGUGUUACACUGCUGGGAGAGGAAUGUCCUGUCUUCUUCCUCCAGUUGCCUCUGCCACUGUUCUGGUGGCAUCUGGCACUGGUGCAAGGCAGAACUGUGCUUCCUUGAGAGUGUGCUAAGCAUUCACUUUGGCUGCUUAGUUCUAGUCUGGAAGCAGACACA
Molecule: small nucleolar RNA, 204 nt
Organism: Equus asinus (donkey)
Lineage: Eukaryota; Metazoa; Chordata; Mammalia; Perissodactyla; Equidae
Gene: SNORA74
Rfam family: Small nucleolar RNA SNORA74
About the family: U19 belongs to the H/ACA class of snoRNAs. snoRNAs bind a number of proteins (including dyskerin, Gar1p and Nop10p in the case of the H/ACA class) to form snoRNP complexes. This class are thought to guide the sites of modification of uridines to pseudouridines by forming direct base pairing interactions with substrate RNAs.
Source: Ensembl